GAAGACUCGGCAGGAUAUUCCUGAAGAUGAGGAAGUGAGGCAAAGGGGCUGAUGGAAGUCAUAUGCCUCUCUCUUCUCACUCUCCUUGGAAACAUGAGACCCAGCAGGAGACCAGAGAUCAGAGUACUUUCAGGAGGCUUGAGUCUGGAGACCUGGUAAGAUUUUCCUAAAGAAGAUGAUGGAGAAAACCAGUUGCAUGAGAGAAGGCUCCCAUUCCUUCCCUUCUUACUUCCAUGGGAUCCUGGAGACCUUGCAGGAGAAAAGGGGGUGAAGAUCUGGGAGGAGCCAGACAGAGCAGAAUUGAAGGCACCAGGCUGUGUAAUAACCACAUUUGCUGGAGGCCAGAGUUCCAGCUGGAGGAUAAUGAAGGUGACUCCC
Molecule: long non-coding RNA, 378 nt
Organism: Gracilinanus agilis (Agile Gracile Mouse Opossum)
Lineage: Eukaryota; Metazoa; Chordata; Mammalia; Didelphimorphia; Didelphidae
Exons: 3
Source: RefSeq, a predicted model, not a curated record